AGUGAAUCAGUGGGAAAGUAUUUUCUAUUACAUUAGGUAUAUUCUUUUUUUUUCCUUCUCUUUUUCAAUCUCAUUCUUCUCUUUCUCUCUGUUCUCUUGGCAGACCGAUUUUCCCCCAUUUUCAGAAAUCAGAGCUUUCACUAAGCUCAUGCAAAAUCGGGUCUGAACCUAUGGUGUGCGUUUGAUCUACUGAAAAUCAAAGUCCUGGAGUCUACGGUGAAGCCAUUUUUUUAGCUUCUCAAAUCAGGUUAUAAGUCUUGAGUCCCAACAUUAGAAAGAAAUAUUAAGGCACAGUUCAUGUUUCAACUUUGCCAUUAACUCCUGUUUUUCUUGAAGUUGGAAAAUCUAAUUUGGACUAGAGCAUGAAACACUCAGGAAAAGUCUUUAAAAAAACCAGCUACUCAAGAUGAGGUAUUUGAGCAUACACAUAUGAAGAAGCUAAAGGAUGGAACAAAGACAACGUGGAUCGAGCCACAAGCCGAGACAACCUAUAAUACUUUCAAACAAUCCUUGGAGGAGUUCAUUCAAAUCCAACCAAUUGAUAAUCAAGGAAAGCCAAUCCAACCAUCCCAGGAGAAUUAUAUGGACUUGUGGAUUAAGGCGGCUAGUAGCGUACAUAAGGAAAGAGUUUACGGCCUUGGAUCAGAGUUUAGUUCUAGUCGUCGGUCUUUUGGAUCUGGUGGCUCUUCUUCCUCAAGGUCCUCGAUUAAUCAGGAUAAGUUUGAGCUAUUGAAUAGAAGAAUAGCAGAGAUCACUGAGUUGUAUGCACAGGAAAGGGCUGCGCGGGAGGAGGAGGCAAAGUGAAGGGAGGAAGAAGAUAGGCGGAGGGAGGAAGAGGAGAGGCGGAGGGAGGAAGAAAUGAGGCUAAAGGAUGCUGCAUUUACACGUGUCACUGGUGACGUUGAAAGCCUCAAGGCCCAGCUAAACCACCUCUUAGCAUCUGGUGUAUUUCCUGCGCUACGUUCUCCAUCACGCUCUAACAAGACUAAGGAGUAGUUUCUUUUAUUAAUAUAAUUUUGGAUAGGAUGUUAUGUAUCAAUUGGAUAAGAUUGAAUGCUGAAAUAGUUGAGUUAGAUGGGGGAUUUUGGUCGAACUAUCAAAGAGGUCUGCUACCAAAGAAUUAGGAGUUAUAACAUUCAUAAAAGAAAGAAAAAACCAAUAUAGGAACUUCAACUAAGAAAUAAUAAGAAUUCUUAUUUGAAUGUUAAGUUGCAUCAUUGGUUU
This is an RNA transcript of Nicotiana tabacum (common tobacco), 1224 nucleotides long. RefSeq lists it as uncharacterized. Lineage: Eukaryota; Viridiplantae; Streptophyta; Magnoliopsida; Solanales; Solanaceae. The record is from RefSeq and is a predicted model, not a curated record.